This 432-nucleotide ribosomal RNA is filed under the name uncultured bacterium. RNAcentral describes it as "partial 16S ribosomal RNA". It matches the Rfam family "Bacterial small subunit ribosomal RNA", at positions 29 to 506 of the family's 1533-position model. The record is from RNAcentral.
AACGAACGCUGGCGGCAUGCCUAACACAUGCAAGUCGAACGAGACCUUCGGGUCUAGUGGCGCACGGGUGCGUAACGCGUGGGAACCUGCCCUUAGGUUCGGAAUAACUCCCCGAAAGGGGUGCUAAUACCGGAUAAUGUCUUCGGACCAAAGAUUUAUCGCCUUUGGAUGGGCCCGCGUUGGAUUAGCUAGUUGGUAGGGUAAAAGCCUACCAAGGCGACGAUCCAUAGCUGGUCUGAGAGGAUGAUCAGCCACACUGGGACUGAGACACGGCCCAGACCCCUACGGGGGGCAGCAGGGGGGAAUAUUGGAAAAUGGGCGAAAGCCUGAUCCAGCAAUGCCGGGGGAGUGAGGAAGGCCUUAGGUUUGUAAAGCUUUUUUCCCCGGGAUGAAAAUGACAGUCCCGGGAAAAUAAGCCCCGGCUAACUCCGU